Molecule: microRNA precursor, 204 nt
Organism: Oryza sativa Japonica Group (Japanese rice)
Lineage: Eukaryota; Viridiplantae; Streptophyta; Magnoliopsida; Poales; Poaceae
Rfam family: MIR812 microRNA precursor family
Source: Rfam
UAAAAGGCAAGCCCUGGGUUUCCGUGUCCAACUUUGACUGUCCGUCUUAUAUGAAAUUUUUUUAUAAUUCGUAUUUUCAUUGUGGUUAGAUGAUAAAACAUGGUUAAUAUUUUACGCGUGACUUGUCUUUUUAAUUUUUUUAUAAUUUUUUCAAAUAAGACGGACGGUCAAACGUUGGACACGGAAACCAGGGUUUGUCUUUUU